CGCUCCUCAAAACCUUUCCUCCGGAGGUGCCGACCUCCUCUGCGCCCCUGCACUCUGCGAUGCUGGGAGGGGCUUUCAGCCUCUGAAACCCUGUCCUGUCCCAGAGCAGGGGCGACACCUCAGCCUGGGAGAGCCUGUCGGGUUUGUGCCGGGAGCUGGGGCUCCCCACAGCGCUGCCUCCCCCCGUGCUCCGGGGACGCCUGUCCUCGCACGCUGGGAGCCUGGAAGGAAGAUGCGCCGGGUUGGCGUCACCGGGAGGAGGGGGCUGUUGCAAUCCCGAGAGGCGUUUCCUCAGGCCGCGAGGCGAUUGGGAGCCCAGGAAGCCCGCGAGGACAGCCAGCGGCCGGGCAGGUGGGGAGGGAGACGCCUGGGGGUACCUGGAGGUGGCCCCCUCUGGAGUCUGGGCACGGCCCCUAAACUGCGGAAGGGCUCAGGAGCUACGACGUCAGGGAUUCACCUGCGGUGACCUCUAGCACUCCGUCCGCAGGCCGCACGAGCCAGUGUCCUCAUCCAAAAUCAGGGCCACGGUGACCAGGGAGCCCAGGGCUGCAGGGACACAGGGGCCUCCUGUGCAGUGUCUCUGGCCCCCGUCAUGCUCCCCGGACCCCCAGGACUCAGACUUCCAGGGAUGUGAGGCCCCACAAGCCUGAGCGAGACGCCCAGGCCAGGACGACUCAGCUCCGCCUUCUCUGAGACGACCCACAUCCAAGCCAGGUCGGGCUGGCCAAGAGGACGCUGCUCAGGGCCGGUGGGGACGUGCGGGUCCGCUGGGGCUGGGCGGCUGCCACGUGCCCGCACCCACCGCUGCAAAAUCCUGCCAUGCUCACAUCUCCAGGGCUUCCGGGUGCCAUCGGAUGGAUGGUGUCCUCCCCAAAUAGAUGUUCUAGUCCCGGCGAAUGUGACCGCCGUGGGACUGGUGUCCUCACAAGGGGAGGGAGUUUGGGCACAGGCUGGCUCUCGCGGGAAAAGGCCCCGAUCCCCGUGGCCGCUGCGCAGACUGGCCCCCGCCCCGCAGACGCCCGACCUGUCCCACGGCCCUUCCACGGCUGACCGUCACCGAGGGCUUCGUGGGCAUCUGUUCCCCUAAAUGCGGCCACUUUCUAGAGGGGGGCUGGGUGUGGAUGCCGCGGAGGAGCUGAAUGAGUAGAUUCUUCUGGGCCCGGGCCCAGAUCCAGGCCGCACGCCCCCCACGGGCUCUGUCUGGGGCCGGGCUGUGGGUGCCCGCCCUCGCCUGCAUCUCUGCCAGCGACGGCCACCAGCCCCUGCACCCUGGUGCUUUCGAACACCCAGUGGGCUCUGCUCUUUCAGGGCCUUCUCCCGGGAAAGUGAAUGCAGUGCCUCCCUGGUGCACUUUCACAGCUGAGGUUAAGGCGAAGGUGUUCAGGGCCCCCACCCAGGAGCUCUGCCGGUGGGCGUCCACCUUCGGCUCAGGGCGUGACCCCGGCGUCCCGGGAUCAAGUCCCGCAUCCCUGCAGGGAGCCUGCUUCUCCCUCUGCCUGUGUCUCUGCCUCUCUCUGUGUCUCUCAUGAAUAAAUAAAUAAA
Nyctereutes procyonoides (raccoon dog) is the source of this 1542-nucleotide long non-coding RNA. RefSeq lists it as uncharacterized. The transcript is spliced from 4 exons. The record is from RefSeq and is a predicted model, not a curated record. NCBI's taxonomy places the organism in Eukaryota, Metazoa, Chordata, Mammalia, Carnivora, Canidae.